Molecule: small nuclear RNA, 102 nt
Organism: Gallus gallus (chicken)
Lineage: Eukaryota; Metazoa; Chordata; Aves; Galliformes; Phasianidae
Source: Ensembl
AUGCUUCAGCAGCACAUAUACUAAAAUUUGAACAAAACAGGGAAAAUUAGCAUGGCCCUGCACAACGAUGACAUUCAAAUUCAUGAAGUGUUCCAUAUUUUU